Molecule: long non-coding RNA, 611 nt
Organism: Tigriopus californicus
Lineage: Eukaryota; Metazoa; Arthropoda; Copepoda; Harpacticoida; Harpacticidae
Exons: 2
Source: RefSeq, a predicted model, not a curated record
GCCUUGAAAGUACUGUAAGUGCAUGUGUGAGGCAAUAUUGUGAAUAAGUUUUGAAAGGCUUUUGAGAGUUUAUUUAAAAUCAUUUCCUGAAACGGACUCCCUUCAAUGGGUGGCUUGACGGCUUCGUCUCUGAACAAAAACUCCUUGUCAUGAUGGGCAUAAGAAAGGUGUCCAAGAAGAAACAGAAACAUAAAGAAGACUCAGGGAGGUGAAAUGGCUGGUCCUCUCAAACAAACGUGAUCUCUUCCAAUCCGAGCUCGAAGUCUCAUUCGUUUCCAUCUGUCUAUUUCACUCAUUCACGUCAAGGGGUUAAUUUAAUGGUCAUGAUUUUCACAUUAGUACCACCCACUAACUACCGCUUGAAUCUUAAACCCACCUCUUUGUUGUAUUUCGCCUUUUACGACAAGCCUGAAUCGCUCAACACCCUCCUCCUCCUCCUCCUCCUCCUUCUCCAUCGUCUCCAUCGUCUCCACCGCCUCCUUCGCUGUUGAAUUGAAGAUCAGAUCUUAAAUUGCUUCUCUGCAACGUGGGUACCUUUGGCAAAUCAAUGGGGAAUAUGCAGACUUUGGCUAAAUUUUGCGAAUAGAGUCUUGUCUUAUCUCGUGUCUUGA